UGAUGGAGAGUUUGAUCCUGGCUCAGGACGAACGCUGGCGGCGUGCUUAACACAUGCAAGUCGAGCGGAAAGGCCCCUUCGGGGGUACUCGAGCGGCGAACGGGUGAGUAACACGUGAGUAACCUGCCCCCGACUUCGGGAUAAGCCUGGGAAACCGGGUCUAAUACCGGAUACGACCACCUCGCGCAUGUGGGGUGGUGGAAAGUUUUUCGGUUGGGGAUGGGCUCGCGGCCUAUCAGCUUGUUGGUGGGGUGAUGGCCUACCAAGGCUUCGACGGGUAACCGGCCUGAGAGGGCGACCGGUCACACUGGGACUGAGAC
RNAcentral lists this ribosomal RNA (320 nucleotides) under Actinomadura decatromicini. RNAcentral describes it as "bacterial SSU rRNA". It matches the Rfam family "Bacterial small subunit ribosomal RNA", at positions 1 to 325 of the family's 1533-position model. Lineage: Bacteria; Bacillati; Actinomycetota; Actinomycetes; Streptosporangiales; Thermomonosporaceae. The record is from RNAcentral.